This 24-nucleotide non-coding RNA is filed under the name Arabidopsis thaliana (thale cress). Lineage: Eukaryota; Viridiplantae; Streptophyta; Magnoliopsida; Brassicales; Brassicaceae. The record is from RNAcentral.
AGAUGUCACCAAUUAACGCGCUGC